This is a non-coding RNA of Flavobacteria bacterium MS024-3C, 46 nucleotides long. The record is from Rfam. NCBI's taxonomy places the organism in Bacteria, Pseudomonadati, Bacteroidota, Flavobacteriia.
GCAUCGGCCUUUUUAAAGGCCACAAAAUUAAUCUUUGUAGCGCCAU